RNAcentral lists this unclassified non-coding RNA (995 nucleotides) under Hevea brasiliensis (rubber tree). Lineage: Eukaryota; Viridiplantae; Streptophyta; Magnoliopsida; Malpighiales; Euphorbiaceae. The record is from RNAcentral.
UAUCUUUAUUCAAGAUUAACCUCUAAAUAAAACUCUUUACCACCUGAAGUAUGGAUUGAUAGAAACAGGGCAGAUGCUUUGCCUUUGCUCUGUUUUUGCACAAUCUAAAAAUCUAUGUUUCUUCAAUGAGAAAGCAAAGUUGGUCUAAGCAAAAGGUGAUUUGUUAUUAUCAUUUCAUAUUGAUUUUAAUCAUUUCUUUUAUUCAAGAAAAUAAUUUACGUGUCAAACAUGAUUCUAAUUAUGUGAUUUCCUGAUUAUAGUGGUUAGGUAAGGGUCUAUCUUUGCCUUCAUUCACCCAUGACUUAAUUGUGUUUCAGUUAACCUUUUAGUGUUAAUUUUAUAGCAUUGCCUUACCUACCAAAUAACUUAUGAUAACCAUAGCAAAUGUACUGGGCAACUAGCUUUUGACUUCCUUUUAUAUGAUGGGCUGAUGCUGUUUUGACAAGGCAAUCCACUACAUUCUGAAAGGAUGGAUCUCAUAAUGGGCUCCUUAUUUGUUUGUAUGAUAUUAUACAAAAUGCUAUAUAUAUUUAUAUAUGAUAGAAAUCCUAUUUUUAUUCAUUAACGGACUUCAUCUUUUUUUCUUCCCCUUCUUUUGGAUAUCUUUCUCGUACCUAAAGAUUUCACCCACAAUUCUGCCCUUUAUGUCAACUGCCCAGUGUCAAUGAUAUGGUAAGCACAGAUGAAAUGAAUCAUGUGAUGAGAGGGCCAAAAAUGUAGGUUAUUGAUUAAAACCCUUCCUGCUGAUACAUACAAGUUUUUGUUUUUCCGAUAACUGGACGUGAAGGUUUAGCGGCUCCAGUUGUAGUCUGUUAAUGUGUGUACAUAUUUAAAGCAUUUAGUUUCCACUUCUAAAUAUAGUGUAUCAGUUAAUUUGGUUUAAGCACGUGAACCUUUCUGCUACAGUGAACUGUACGCAUUCAAUUUCCUUUGCUCAGUGCUGUUAUAAUCAAACAAAAAAUUUCUUGAUCCAGGUUCCUCUCUAUGUGGCAACA